AACGAACGCUGGCGGCAGGCUUAACACAUGCAAGUCGAGCGCCCCGCAAGGGGAGCGGCAGACGGGUGAGUAACGCGUGGGAACGUACCUUUUGGUUCGGAACAACUCCGGGAAACUGGAGCUAAUACCGGAUAAGCCCUAACGGGGAAAGAUUUAUCGCCAAAAGAUCGGCCCGCGUCUGAUUAGCUAGUUGGUGAGGUAACGGCUCACCAAGGCGACGAUCAGUAGCUGGUCUGAGAGGAUGAUCAGCCACACUGGGACUGAGACACGGCCCAGACUCCUACGGGAGGCAGCAGUGGGGAAUAUUGGACAAUGGGCGCAAGCCUGAUCCAGCCAUGCCGCGUGAGUGAUGAAGGCCUUAGGGUUGUAAAGCUCUUUUGUCCGGGAAGAUAAUGACUGUACCGGAAGAAUAAGCCCCGGCUAACUUCGUG
This 431-nucleotide ribosomal RNA is filed under the name uncultured bacterium. Its description in RNAcentral is "partial 16S ribosomal RNA". It matches the Rfam family "Bacterial small subunit ribosomal RNA", at positions 29 to 507 of the family's 1533-position model. The record is from RNAcentral.